This 370-nucleotide ribosomal RNA is filed under the name uncultured organism. RNAcentral describes it as "bacterial SSU rRNA". It matches the Rfam family "Bacterial small subunit ribosomal RNA", at positions 528 to 896 of the family's 1533-position model. The record is from RNAcentral.
GAGGUCCCGAGCGUUGUUCGGAUUCACUGGGCGUAAAGGGUGCGUAGGUGGCGAGGUAAGUCGGAUGUGAAAGCUCGGAGCUCAACUCCGAAAUGGCAUUGGAAACUACCUUGCUCGAGGGUUGGAGGGGGGACUGGAAUACUUGGUGUAGCAGUGAAAUGCGUAGAUAUCAAGUGGAACACCAGUGGCGAAGGCGAGUCCCUGGACAACUCCUGACACUGAGGCACGAAAGCUAGGGGAGCAAACAGGAUUAGAUACCCUGGUAGUCCUAGCCGUAAACGGUGCAUGUUUGCUGUAAAAGGAUUCGACCCCUUUUGUGGCGUAGCCAACGCGUUAAACAUGCCGCCUGGGAAGUACGGUCGCAAGAUUA